RNAcentral lists this ribosomal RNA (253 nucleotides) under uncultured bacterium. RNAcentral's name for it is "partial 16S ribosomal RNA". It matches the Rfam family "Bacterial small subunit ribosomal RNA", at positions 524 to 776 of the family's 1533-position model. The record is from RNAcentral.
UACGUAGGGUGCGAGCGUUAAUCGGAAUUACUGGGCGUAAAGCGUGCGCAGGCGGUUGCUGAAGUCCGGUGUGAAAGCCCCGGGCUUAACCUGGGAAUGGCAGUGGAAACUAGGCGACUUGAAUCUGGCAGAGGGGGGUGGAAUGCCACGUGUAGCAGUGAAAUGCGUAGAGAUGUGGCGGAACACCGAUGGCGAAGGCAGCCCCCUGGGUCAAGAUUGACGCUCAGGCACGAAAGCGUGGGGAGCAAACAGG